RNAcentral lists this ribosomal RNA (467 nucleotides) under uncultured bacterium. Its description in RNAcentral is "partial 16S ribosomal RNA". It matches the Rfam family "Bacterial small subunit ribosomal RNA", at positions 28 to 507 of the family's 1533-position model. The record is from RNAcentral.
GACGAACGCUGGCGGCGUGCUUAACACAUGCAAGUCGAACGGAAAGGCCCUGCUUUUGUGGGGUGCUCGAGUGGCGAACGGGUGAGUAACACGUGAGUAACCUGCCCUUGACUUUGGGAUAACUUCAGGAAACUGGGGCUAAUACCGGAUAGGAGCUCCUGCUGCAUGGUGGGGGUUGGAAAGUUUCGGCGGUUGGGGAUGGACUCGCGGCUUAUCAGCUUGUUGGUGGGGUAGUGGCUUACAAGGCUUUGACGGGUAGCCGGCCUGAGAGGGUGACCGGCCACAUUGGGACUGAGAUACGGCCCAGACUCCUACGGGAGGCAACAGUGGGGAAUAUUGCACAAUGGGCGGAAGCCUGAUGCAGCAACGCCGCGUGCGGGAUGACGGCCUUCGGGUUGUAAACCGCUUUCGCCUGUGACGAAGCGUGAGUGACGGUAAUGGGUAAAGAAGCACCGGCUAACUACGUG